AACGAACGCUGGCGGCAGGCCUAACACAUGCAAGUCGAGCGCGCCCUUCGGGCUGAGCGGCGGACGGGUGGGUAACGCGUGGGAACGUGCCCUUUUCUCCGGAAUAGCCUCGGGAAACAGAGCGUAAUACCGGCUACGCUCUCUGGGGGAAAGGUUUAUCGGAAAAGGAGCGGCCCGCGUUGGCUUAGGUAGAUGGUGGGGUAAUGGCCUACCACGACGUCGUUCCAUAGCUGGUUUGAGAGGAUGAUCCGCCACACUGGGACUGAGACACGGCCCAGACUCCUGCGGGAGGCAGCAGUGGGUAAUCUUAGACAAUGGGGGCAACCCUGAACUAGCCAUGCCUCGUGAGUGAUGAAGGCCUUAGGGUUGGAAAGCUCUUUCAGCUGGGAAGAUAAUGACGGUACCAGCAGAAUAAGCCCCGGCUAACUCCGUG
RNAcentral lists this ribosomal RNA (433 nucleotides) under uncultured bacterium. RNAcentral's name for it is "partial 16S ribosomal RNA". It matches the Rfam family "Bacterial small subunit ribosomal RNA", at positions 29 to 507 of the family's 1533-position model. The record is from RNAcentral.